GGCGUGGGCCCGCACAAGCGGGGGAGCAUGUGGUUUAAUCCGAUGCAGACCGGAGAACCUUACCAGGGCUUGACUGUCGGUGGUAGGCGGCCGAAAGGUCAGCCGACCUGAUGCUCUCUGGCCAGAGAGCCUCUGUGGUCGGGGCCUCGGGAGCCGACACAGGUGCUGCACGGCUGUCGUCAGCUCGUGCCGUGAGGUGUGGGGUUCAGUCCUCAAACGAGCGCAACCCUCGCCGCUAGUUGCCCGGGGGGUCCCCCGCCCCGGGGGACCCCCCGGGCUCUCUAGCGGGACUGCCGGGGUGACCCGGAGGAAGGCGGGGACGACGUCAAGUCAGCGUGGCCCUGAUGCCCUGGGCCACACACAUGCUACAGUGGGGGGGGACAGCGGGCGGCCACCCCGCGAGGGGGAGCGAAUCCCUGAAACCCUCCCUCGGUUCCGAUCGGAGUCUGCAACCCGACUCCGUGAAGCCGGACCCGCUAGUAACCGCCGGUCAGCGAUACGGCGGUGAAUACGUUCUCGGGCCCUACACAGAUCGCACGCCACGUCCCGGGCACGGGUGGAUCGGAAGGCCGGCUGGCUCAGGAGACGCUCGGGAACCGGGACGAAGGCGUAGCAAAGUAGCCGUACGGGAACGUGCGGCUG
This 642-nucleotide ribosomal RNA is filed under the name Chloroflexota bacterium. RNAcentral describes it as "bacterial SSU rRNA". It matches the Rfam family "Bacterial small subunit ribosomal RNA", at positions 912 to 1520 of the family's 1533-position model. Lineage: Bacteria; Bacillati; Chloroflexota. The record is from RNAcentral.